UACAGGGGGGGCGAGCGUUGUUCGGAAUUACUGGGCGUAAAGGGCGCGUAGGCGGCCCGCUAAGUCGAACGUGAAAUCCCCAGGCUCAACCUGGGAACUGCGUCCGAUACUGGCAGGCUUGAAUCCGGGAGAGGGAUGUGGAAUUCCAGGUGUAGCGGUGAAAUGCGUAGAUAUCUGGAGGAACACCGGUGGCGAAGGCGGCAUCCUGGACCGGUAUUGACGCUGAGGCGCGAAAGCUAGGGGAGCAAACGGG
This 253-nucleotide ribosomal RNA is filed under the name uncultured bacterium. RNAcentral describes it as "partial 16S ribosomal RNA". It matches the Rfam family "Bacterial small subunit ribosomal RNA", at positions 524 to 776 of the family's 1533-position model. The record is from RNAcentral.